This 122-nucleotide ribosomal RNA is filed under the name Pogona vitticeps (central bearded dragon). Lineage: Eukaryota; Metazoa; Chordata; Lepidosauria; Squamata; Agamidae. The record is from RNAcentral.
UGUUGGGUUCCGACACACCACCUCGAACAUACAGACCUAGUCUGAUUCUAGAAGUUAACCAGGGCUGGACCUGGUUAAUAGUUGGAUGGGAGACCACAAGGGAAUCAAGGGAAAUGCCAUGU